This 254-nucleotide ribosomal RNA is filed under the name uncultured bacterium. RNAcentral's name for it is "partial 16S ribosomal RNA". It matches the Rfam family "Bacterial small subunit ribosomal RNA", at positions 793 to 1055 of the family's 1533-position model. The record is from RNAcentral.
GUCCACGCCGUAAACGAUGGAUACUAGCUGUUGGGAGCAAUCUCAGUGGCUAAGCGAAAGUGAUAAGUAUCCCACCUGGGGAGUACGUUCGCAAGAAUGAAACUCAAAGGAAUUGACGGGGCCCGCACAAGCGGUGGAGCAUGUGGUUUAAUUCGAUGAUACGCGAGGAACCUUACCAAGGCUUAAAUGUAGUUUGACAGGUUUGGAAACAGAUCUUUCUUCGGACAAAUUACGAGGUGCUGCAUGGUUGUCGU